GUGUCAGCAGCCGCGGUAAUACGGAGGGUGCAAGCGUUAUCCGGAAUCACUGGGUUUAAAGGGUGCGUAGGCGGUUUGAUAAGUCAGUGGUGAAAGCUCAUCGCUCAACGAUGAAAUUGCCAUUGAUACUGUCAGACUUGAAUUAGGAUAAGGUAAGCGGAAUGUGGCAUGUAGCGGUGAAAUGCAUAGAUAUGCCAUAGAACACCAAUUGCGAAGGCAGCUUACUGGGCCUUGAUUGACGCUGAGGCACGAAAGCGUGGGGAUCAAACAGGAUUAGAAACCCCCGUAGUCC
RNAcentral lists this ribosomal RNA (292 nucleotides) under uncultured bacterium. RNAcentral describes it as "partial 16S ribosomal RNA". It matches the Rfam family "Bacterial small subunit ribosomal RNA", at positions 505 to 796 of the family's 1533-position model. The record is from RNAcentral.